Molecule: RNA transcript, 721 nt
Organism: Musa acuminata AAA Group (dessert banana)
Lineage: Eukaryota; Viridiplantae; Streptophyta; Magnoliopsida; Zingiberales; Musaceae
Gene name: large ribosomal subunit protein uL13y-like
Exons: 3
Source: RefSeq, a predicted model, not a curated record
AAGCGAAAAACCCUAGCCGCCCACCCAUAUACAGUAGCUUGGCAUCCCACUACCGUUCGUGUUCCGAAGCGACUGUACGACUAUGUUUCUUGCUCCGUUUGACGGGUCAAGAAGGCGGCUUGGCCAAUCAUAUGGUUUCGGGGUCUGGGCUGUGCGCGAGGAACUCCUCUAACGGGCAACCCGUUGUGGCCGUCUGCUGCGAGGAGAUCUGCCUUUCCGAGGGGCUCGUCCGCCAAAAGAUGAAGUACCUCCGCUUUCUCCGCAAGCGCAUGAACUCCGAGCCCUCCCACGGCCCCGUCCACUUUCGCACCCCUGCCAAGAUCCUCUGGCGCACCCCGUCUGCGGGUAAUCUCAAUCAUCUUGACAUAACAUGAUGACAGACGAAAGGUGGAGCCGCUGCGUUGGCAAGGCUCAAGGCACACGAGGGGGUGCCACCUCCGUACGAUAAGAUGAAGAGGAUGGUUAUUUCGGACGCCCUCAAGUGUAAGUUUUUUGUUUGAUUGUUCGAGUGCAAAUGUUUUCGUUAUCUGGUCUUGUUGAUGAAAUGCUCGAUGUGUUUUUACGUUAUUGAGGUUUCAACCCGUCCAUAGAUACUGCUUGUUUGGUCGGCUGUCAUCUGAGGUUGGAUGGAAUUAAUAUGAUACCGUUAAGGUCAGAUCAAAUCGGCGUUUUGAAAACCUGCUGGACUGCACUCCGUGUAUGUUAUUGGGCCCAGUAGAUG